CGCGAAGAACCUUACCUGGGCUUGAUAUCCUAAGAACCUUUUAGAGAUAAGAGGGUGCUAGCUUGCUAGAACUUAGAGACAGGUGCUGCACGGCUGUCGUCAGCUCGUGUCGUGAGAUGUUGGGUUAAGUCCCGCAACGAGCGCAACCCACGUAUUUAGUUGCUAACGGUUCGGCCGAGCACUCUAAAUAGACUGCCUUCGUAAGGAGGAGGAAGGUGUGGACGACGUCAAGUCAUCAUGGCCCUUAUGCCCAGGGCGACACACGUGCUACAAUGGCAUAUACAAUGAGACGCAAUACCGCGAGGUGGAGCAAAUCUAUAAAAUAUGUCCCAGUUCGGAUUGUUCUCUGCAACUCGAGAGCAUGAAGCCGGAAUCGCUAGUAAUCGUAGAUCAGCCAUGCUACGGUGAAUACGUUCCCGGGUCUUGUACUCACCGCCCGUCACACCAUGGGAGUUGAUUUCACUCGAAGCCGGAAUACUAAACUAGUUACCGUCCACAGUGGAAUCAGCGACUGGGGUGAAGUCGUAACAAGGUAACCGUAGGAGAACCUGCGGUUGGAUCACCUCCUUUCUA
Molecule: ribosomal RNA, 573 nt
Filed under: Campylobacter jejuni
Lineage: Bacteria; Pseudomonadati; Campylobacterota; Epsilonproteobacteria; Campylobacterales; Campylobacteraceae
Description: bacterial SSU rRNA
Rfam family: Bacterial small subunit ribosomal RNA
Source: RNAcentral